RNAcentral lists this unclassified non-coding RNA (268 nucleotides) under Hevea brasiliensis (rubber tree). The record is from RNAcentral. Lineage: Eukaryota; Viridiplantae; Streptophyta; Magnoliopsida; Malpighiales; Euphorbiaceae.
GAAAAUGAAGCUUACAAAGAGUGCACAUUAUUCCAAAAUAAAAUCAACACAUAAUGAGACCAACCACCUUCUAAUCCAACAAUGUUAACCCCUCCUACUAAAUUUGAAAUGUGAGUUCUGUAAAUUCUUGUUAGGCUAUUUCAACCACAAUUGAGCACUGGUACCUUGCAGACAGCAUUUUAGGGCUCCAAGUGUAAAGAAGCACACACACAGUAAAUAUAGUCACGGUGCUUAUUAUUUUACUUUAUCAUAUUUGUCAAUAUUGCAA